Molecule: transfer RNA, 85 nt
Filed under: Escherichia coli
Lineage: Bacteria; Pseudomonadati; Pseudomonadota; Gammaproteobacteria; Enterobacterales; Enterobacteriaceae
Also listed under: 2 other names
Description: tRNA-Tyr
Rfam family: tRNA
About the family: Transfer RNA (tRNA) molecules are approximately 80 nucleotides in length. Their secondary structure includes four short double-helical elements and three loops (D, anti-codon, and T loops). Further hydrogen bonds mediate the characteristic L-shaped molecular structure. tRNAs have two regions of fundamental functional importance: the anti-codon, which is responsible for specific mRNA codon recognition, and the 3' end, to which the tRNAs corresponding amino acid is attached (by aminoacyl-tRNA synthetases). tRNAs cope with the degeneracy of the genetic code in two manners: having more than one tRNA (with a specific anti-codon) for a particular amino acid; and 'wobble' base-pairing, i.e. permitting non-standard base-pairing at the 3rd anti-codon position.
Source: RNAcentral
GGUGGGGUUCCCGAGCGGCCAAAGGGAGCGGACUGUAAAUCUGCCGUCAUCGACUUCGAAGGUUCGAAUCCUUCCCCCACCACCA